UUUCGAAACCUCAAGGCUUAAGCACAUAAGAUUUUGAAGCUUCUGAUUUCGAAAUUUGAUGAUUCUGAAUUCAAAAUCUGAAGGUUGAUGGUUUUGAUUUCUAAUUCUUAUUUGUAAAAAAUAGAAAUCGUUGGUAUUUGGUAAGAAUCGACUGCUAUCAUUGAAGAAGAAACAAAAUUAAGAACUGCAAUCAUUGAUCGUGUCUUUAAUAUUGGAAUAGAAUGGACUGAAUGGAUAUUAGCGUUCCUCCUUUAAUGAUGUUUCCUAUUACCCAUGCCUUCGUUAUUACUAAAGAAGAAACCGAAGAAUACGAUGAUGUCGGAGGGCAAGCGUUCUCUUUCUCAUGCUCUCCAUUAUUUCUUCAGUUAAUCCAUUCUAUAAACCCACAUUACCCUUUCUCAUAAUUUCCAUCCGAUGAUCAAUAACUGUACAUGUCACGCCACCUAGCCUGCUGCUUCCCUCUUCUUUUCCCUUCUUGAUCCAACGCUUCACUUAACUUCUCCUCUACCGCCUCUGUUUCUUGAAAUCGAAGCCUCUCACCCCAAACAUCAACUUAUACGCUCCAACCCUACUGAAGAGAAAACUUGAAAUAUUCUUUGGUCUGAUCUCAGCUAAUCAAACGUCCAGAACCAUGAAGCAAAGCAGAGAAUGAUUUUCAUCCCCUUUUUUCAUCGACAUGUCUGCUUUCACCCAAAUCGACGCCUCUCACAGGCGAUGGUCAUAGUGGAGGCUUAUGAAAGGGUUUAAUGAUCGGGAUAAUUCCAGUUACCUCCAAGGUUUUGGAACCAUGCGUAUAAACCACCUAAUUCUUGGAUUAGUUGCUGAAAUACAUGCAAUGCCAAAUCUCAAUUCUCAAGUUUUCAAUUGAAAUAUUGUUCAAGAAUCUUGAUUUGUACAUGAAGACAGGGUUAGGAAAAUUGAAGGAAACCCUGAUUUCUGUUGCUUCAUCUCAACAAAAUACUGUAAAUCAAGGAGUAUGACAACAAUUCUGAUGAGAAGUAUAUUCAGUUAGUUGCACAAAGUAUAGGUUCAUUAACUAGUACUGAUGCUGCAUUGGAUGAAUACCAAAUUCUUGCAAAUAAGGUUAAGGAGUAUGACAACAAUCCAAUAAAACCAUGUGUUCAAGUUGAUGAGUUUCAAUUCCAAUAAAACCAGGUGUCUAUGCUAUUUAAUGACUGGUUUUCCACUUUCAC
Lactuca sativa (garden lettuce) is the source of this 1193-nucleotide long non-coding RNA. RefSeq lists it as uncharacterized. Lineage: Eukaryota; Viridiplantae; Streptophyta; Magnoliopsida; Asterales; Asteraceae. The record is from RefSeq and is a predicted model, not a curated record.